GGGAAUAUUGGACAAUGGGCGAAAGCCUGAUCCAGCCAUGCCGCGUGUAUGAAGAAGGUCUUCGGAUUGUAAAGCACUUUAAGUUGGGAGGAAGGGCAGUAAGCUAAUACCUUGCUGUUUUGACGUUACCGACAGAAUAAGCACCGGCUAACUCUGUGCCAG
This 162-nucleotide ribosomal RNA is filed under the name uncultured bacterium. Its description in RNAcentral is "partial 16S ribosomal RNA". It matches the Rfam family "Bacterial small subunit ribosomal RNA", at positions 357 to 511 of the family's 1533-position model. The record is from RNAcentral.